Molecule: long non-coding RNA, 738 nt
Organism: Hyaena hyaena (striped hyena)
Lineage: Eukaryota; Metazoa; Chordata; Mammalia; Carnivora; Hyaenidae
Exons: 3
Source: RefSeq, a predicted model, not a curated record
GGAAAGUUGCAACCAGUGAGAAAUCUCCUCCUUAACAGAGGGAGCCUUCCAUGAAACUGCACUGGUAACUUGGGCUAAAAAACGAGGUACAGGUGUAUCAACAGUUACCAGAGGAGCAAGAGAUUAUUUCUGCUGUUCCACAAUCCAUCCCUAACCUGCACUGAAAUUGGUAUUGAACAUCUCCUGUGUCUUUUCUCUUCCCCGGGCCCGGGACGUGACACCAGGAGGAAGAGCUGCCCACACAGAAUCAGACACAUCUCCGUCCUUCCUUCCAGGGGGAUUCACCCCUGUGGCCACCUGAUUCCGCUCUGCGGCAUACAUUCUAACUCCGUAAUGGAAGUAAAGGGAAAACCAGGAACAGAAUCAGAUGGAACAAGGUCUCACCAUGUUACUACAUUACGUUUUCUUUCUUAAAAAAAAAAAAGAAAAAAGAAAAAAGAAAGAAAUGUAUUGUCUUUGAAGAAGUGGCGGAGAAAUGCUAUGCUCUGCCGACAGAAGGAGAAUCUAGCUUCUUAGGUGUUUUUCUAAAUAAGAGUGCUUAGAUGCUUCCUACUCCUUUCUUCUUCCUCAGAAGCUUCUUGAGUCUUCCUGAUAAAAAGCCCAGUGAUCCGGAUAUCUCCCACUUUGGUGGUUCUUGGUCAUCUCAGUGAUAUGUUUUUGGUUGUGUUCAUGAGAAAUUUGUAGUUUCUAACUCACUGCACACACUUUGUACUGGAAUAAAAGAGAAAUACUUAGAGA